RNAcentral lists this unclassified non-coding RNA (1315 nucleotides) under Hevea brasiliensis (rubber tree). The record is from RNAcentral. Lineage: Eukaryota; Viridiplantae; Streptophyta; Magnoliopsida; Malpighiales; Euphorbiaceae.
CACCCAUGGAACCACUGCUCCUUCUCCCCGAUUCUUCGAUGUCAAGACUCCAUCUAACACCAGACUUAUUCAUGUAUCUGCGCUCCAGACUUGAUGUAGGAGAUCUAUCCACCAGGCCCAUGGGCGAAGCUUUAGAACUUGAAGAUCUUUCUAAAGACAACUCCCCAAUAUGGCCAUCAUCCAUUUUAGUAGGCUUCUCAGCAGAUCUAUACUUGGAAGCUCUUUCUGAUGCUCCUGCCAAACUAGUAACCUCCCUAGAAGAAACUGAUUUGGAUCUCUGUUCUAUUGCAGCAUCUCUGUGCUUUAGUUCUUCCUGUUUAAAUUGCCUGUAAUCAUCUGCAGCUCCAUGAGAACUGGUGUUGGGGGAAGCUCUCCUCCUAUUGCUGUUGGUACUAUUGUCUGGGUGAUCUUGAAGUGAUUGAGACCUUCCCCGGUCAGCAUCAGACUCAACUCUACUGUUGCUCAAAGAUUUCUUUUCCAUGUCAAGAUAAAGGGUUUUGACACCAAUAGAUUUAGAAUCAUUAUAAUCAUCACGAUCAUCAGGAGAUAUCUUCCUUCCCCUGCUCUCUUUGUAUCUAGUAGCACUUCGAUCAUCAUAGUCAAGAUUUCUGUCACGGUCACGGCCACGCUCUCUAUCUCGGUCCCGGUCUCGCUCUCGUUCAUGGUCUCUCUCUCGUUCACGAUCUCUUUCCCGAUCCCAAUCCCGGUCACGCUGCUCUCGAUCCCAAUCUCUAUCAUGGUCGCGGUCCCUAUCCCGGUCUCUAUCUCUGUCACGAUGAUAACUUCCACCAUCAAUAUCAUGAUCAUAAUCCCGGCCAAGAUCAAAAUCAUGAUCAUGAUCUCGCUCAUGGUCACGAUCACCAUCUUGUAGCUUAUAUUUCUUUGGUUUAACAUCUUUGGUAUCUUUAUCAUCCCUCAAGUUCUUACCAUCAGACCUGCUGUUAAUGCGAUCUUUUGCAGCACGCUCAUCUCGGUGUCUGUUUUCCCUGUCCACAUCUUCACGGUACUUGUCUUUAUAUCUCUCCUCCUUAUACUUCUCAUCCUUUGGCCUUCCAUCCUUAGCAACAUCCUCCCUUGAGGACAAUUGUCUGUCAUUGGUGUCUCCAUUAUCAUCAUGAUGCUUAUCCCCAUCGCUAAAACCAUCUCGUUUUCUCUUUAUCCGUCUAUCAGGCAGGGUAUCCAAUUCGGGACUUUGCAGUAGAUCGCGUGCAUUCAACUCAGUUUUUUCAGAUACAUGCUUCACUGAACGCAUGUCUUCACCAUCAACCAAUUUGUCACUCUCCCCCUCCUUACCCCUCCUAUCUCUCUCCUUUUC